GGGGAUGACUUGGAUUCGACGCCGGUGACGAAACCAUGGGUGCAUGCCGUGAGGGUAGCCAAUCACGUAAAUCCAAAGCUGCAUUUUAUUAGUUGCCAACGACGACAACUACGGUGCCCAACUCGCUGCGUAAGCAGCUUGUGAAGCACUAACUAAGGGUUCGUCCCUUAGCGGCCCUCAGCAAGGUUCCAGUACCGCGCUGUUGGCUGUUAUACAGAACUGGAUCGCCGUGACACUUAUCUGAGGUAGAUCGGUUAAAUCUUUUUCAGAAUCGUCUGCUACGUCCUGCCCGUUGGGCUGUAGUGGAUUAAAUUAAUAGACGGAACUAAGCAUGUAGAGCCUCUGGCGGAGUGCUGACGGACGCGGGUUCGACUCCCGCCAUCUCCACCA
Molecule: transfer-messenger RNA, 390 nt
Filed under: Microbulbifer agarilyticus
Lineage: Bacteria; Pseudomonadati; Pseudomonadota; Gammaproteobacteria; Cellvibrionales; Microbulbiferaceae
Also listed under: 1 other name
Rfam family: transfer-messenger RNA
About the family: Bacterial tmRNA, also known as 10Sa RNA or SsrA, is named for its dual tRNA and mRNA-like properties. Its role is to liberate the mRNA from a stalled ribosome.
Source: Rfam by way of RNAcentral